AGAUUGAACGCUGGCGGCAUGCCUAACACAUGCAAGUCGAACGGGAGUAGCAAUACUCUAGUGGCGGACGGGUGAGGAAUACGUAGGAAUUUGCCCUUAAGUGGGGGAUAACCCGGGGAAACCCGGAUUAAUACCGCAUGACCUCGAAAGAGCAAAGUGGGGGAUCGCAAGACCUCACGCUUUUGGAGAAGCCUACGUCGGAUUAGCUAGUUGGUGAGGUAAUGGCUCACCAAGGCGACGAUCCGUAACUGGUCUGAGAGGAUGAUCAGUCACACCGGACUGAGACACGGUCCGGACUCCGUACGGGAGCAGCAGGUGGGGAAUUAGUU
This 329-nucleotide ribosomal RNA is filed under the name uncultured soil bacterium. Its description in RNAcentral is "bacterial SSU rRNA". It matches the Rfam family "Bacterial small subunit ribosomal RNA", at positions 26 to 367 of the family's 1533-position model. The record is from RNAcentral.